GAGUCAUUGGGACUCUGACUAAACCUAAAGGCGCAAUGAAAGUAAAGGUCCGCCUCGCGCGGACCGAGGGAGGAUGGGUCGUCCUUCGGGUCGGCCCCGCACUCCCGGGGCGUCUCGUUCUCAUCGCGAGAAGAGGCGCACCCAGAGCGUACACGCUGGGACCCGAAAGAUGGUGAACUAUGCCUGGUCAGGACGAAGUCAGGGGAAACCCUGAUGGAGGUCCGUAGCGAUUCUGACGUGCAAAUCGAUCGUCGGAACUGGGUAUAGGGGCGAAAGACUAAUCGAACCAUCUAGUAGCUGGUUCCCUCCGAAGUUUCCCUCAGGAUAGCUGGCGCUCGCCUUUGCGAGUCUCAUUCGGUAAAGCGAAUGAUUAGAGGCAUUGGGGUCGAAACGGCCUCAACCUAUUCUCAAACUUUAAAUGGGUGAGAUCUCCGGCUUGCUUGAACGUUGAAGCCGCGAGACAUCGGAUCAGAGAGUGCCAAGUGGGCCACUUUUGGUAAGCAGAACUGGCGCUGUGGGAUGAACCAAACGCCGAGUUAAAGCGCCAAAAUCGACGCUUAUGGGAUACCAUGAAAGGCGUUGGUAACUUAAGACAGCAGGACGGUGG
Molecule: ribosomal RNA, 607 nt
Filed under: Coptorhina sp. dgi1
Lineage: Eukaryota; Metazoa; Arthropoda; Insecta; Coleoptera; Scarabaeidae
Description: eukaryotic LSU rRNA
Rfam family: Eukaryotic large subunit ribosomal RNA
Source: RNAcentral